AAGUCGAACGCGUUGGCCCAAUUGAUUGACGGUGCUUGCAUCUGAUUGAUUUUGGUCGCCAACGAGUGGCGGACGGGUGAGUAACACGUAGGUAACCUGCCCAGAAGCGGGGGACAACAUUUGGAAACAGAUGCUAAUACCGCAUAACAGCGUUGUUCGCAUGAACAACGCUUAAAAGAUGGCUUCUCGCUAUCACUUCUGGAUGGACCUGCGGUGCAUUAGCUUGUUGGUGGGGUAACGGCCUACCAAGGCGAUGAUGCAUAGCCGAGUUGAGAGACUGAUCGGCCACAAUGGGACUGAGACACGGCCCAUACUCCUACGGGAGGCAGCAGUAGGGAAUCUUCCACAAUGGGCGCAAGCCUGAUGGAGCAACACCGCGUGAGUGAAGAAGGGUUUCGGCUCGUAAAGCUCUGUUGUUAAAGAAGAACACGUAUGAGAGUAACUGUUCAUACGUUGACGGUAUUUAACCAGAAAGUCACGGCUAACUACGUGCCAGCAGCCGCGGUAAUACGUAGGUGGCAAGCGUUAUCCGGAUUUAUUGGGCGUAAAGAGAGUGCAGGCGGUUUUCUAAGUCUGAUGUGAAAGCCUUCGGCUUAACCGGAGAAGUGCAUCGGAAACUGGAUAACUUGAGUGCAGAAGAGGGUAGUGGAACUCCAUGUGUAGCGGUGGAAUGCGUAGAUAUAUGGAAGAACACCAGUGGCGAAGGCGGCUACCUGGUCUGCAACUGACGCUGAGACUCGAAAGCAUGGGUAGCGAACAGGAUUAGAUACCCUGGUAGUCCAUGCCGUAAACGAUGAGUGCUAGGUGUUGGAGGGUUUCCGCCCUUCAGUGCCGGAGCUAACGCAUUAAGCACUCCGCCUGGGGAGUACGACCGCAAGGUUGAAACUCAAAGGAAUUGACGGGGGCCCGCACAAGCGGUGGAGCAUGUGGUUUAAUUCGAAGCUACGCGAAGAACCUUACCAGGUCUUGACAUCUUGCGCCAACCCUAGAGAUAGGGCGUUUCCUUCGGGAACGCAAUGACAGGUGGUGCAUGGUCGUCGUCAGCUCGUGUCGUGAGAUGUUGGGUUAAGUCCCGCAACGAGCGCAACCCUUGUUACUAGUUGCCAGCAUUAAGUUGGGCACUCUAGUGAGACUGCCGGUGACAAACCGGAGGAAGGUGGGGACGACGUCAGAUCAUCAUGCCCCUUAUGACCUGGGCUACACACGUGCUACAAUGGACGGUACAACGAGUCGCGAACUCGCGAGGGCAAGCAAAUCUCUUAAAACCGUUCUCAGUUCGGACUGCAGGCUGCAACUCGCCUGCACGAAGUUGGAAUCGCUAGUAAUCGCGGAUCAGCAUGCCGCGGUGAAUACGUUCCCGGGCCUUGUACACACCGCCCGUCACACCAUGAGAGUUUGUAACACCCAAAGUCGGUGGGGUAACCUUUUAGGAACCAGCCGCCUAAGGUGGGACAGAUGAUUAGGGUGAAGUC
This 1472-nucleotide ribosomal RNA is filed under the name Limosilactobacillus fermentum. RNAcentral describes it as "bacterial SSU rRNA". It matches the Rfam family "Bacterial small subunit ribosomal RNA". The record is from RNAcentral. Lineage: Bacteria; Bacillati; Bacillota; Bacilli; Lactobacillales; Lactobacillaceae.